RNAcentral lists this ribosomal RNA (240 nucleotides) under uncultured bacterium. Its description in RNAcentral is "partial 16S ribosomal RNA". It matches the Rfam family "Bacterial small subunit ribosomal RNA", at positions 15 to 263 of the family's 1533-position model. The record is from RNAcentral.
GAUCAUGGCUCAGGACGAACGCUGGCGGCGUGCUUAACACAUGCAAGUCGAACGAACGUAGAAAUACGUUAGUGGCGGACGGGUGAGUAACGCGCGAGCAAUCUGCCCUUGUCAGUGGAAUAACACAGAGAAAUUUGUGCUAAUACCGCAUAAUAUUCAAAUAAGGCAUCUUAUAUGAAUCAAAGAUUUAUCGGACAAGGAUGAGCUCACGUCCCACUUAGGUAGUUGGUGAGGUAACGG